RNAcentral lists this ribosomal RNA (1239 nucleotides) under metagenome. RNAcentral describes it as "bacterial LSU rRNA". It matches the Rfam family "Bacterial large subunit ribosomal RNA", at positions 1564 to 2813 of the family's 2925-position model. The record is from RNAcentral.
UGAAUACAAGAUGCUACGGCAUCGAAGCAGUCUAUGUCAGACUUCCAAGAAAAGCUUGCACUGUCAAAAACAAAGAAUGCCUGUACCAUAACCGACACAGGUGGGUAGGUAGAGUAUACUAAGGGGCGCGAGAUAACUCUCUCUAAGGAACUCGGCAAAAUGACUCCGUAACUUCGGGAGAAGGAGUGCCUUAUUUAUAAGGUUGCAAUAACAAGAUCCAAGCAACUGUUUAUCAAAAACACAGGUCUCCGCUAAGUCGUAAGACGAUGUAUGGGGGCUGACGCCUGCCCAGUGCCAGAAGGUUAAAGAAGUUGGUUAGUGUAUGCGAAGCUGAUGACUGAAGCCCUGGUGAACGGCGGCCGUAACCAUAACGGUCCUAAGGUAGCGAAAUUCCUUGUCGGGUAAGUUCCGACCCGCACGAAAGGCGUAAUGAUUUGGAUACUGUCUCGGAGAGAGGCUCGGUGAAAUAGACUUGUCUGUGAAGAUGCGGACUACCUGCACCAGGACAGAAAGACCCUAUGAAGCUUUACUGUAACUUGAAAUUGGAAUUGGACUUUGCUUGCGCAGUAUAGGUGGGAAGCGUUGAAAAUAUUCUUGCGGGAGUAUUGGAGCUAUCAGUGAGAUACCACUCUUGUAAUGUUAGAUUUCUAACUUUGAACCAUAAUCUGGUCAAAGAACAGUUUCAGGUGGGCAGUUUGACUGGGGCGGUCGCCUCCCAAAUGGUAACGGAGGCGUACAAAGGUUUCCUCUGAACGGAUAGAAAUCGUAUCUAGAGUGUAAAGGCAUAAGGAAGCUUGACUGUGAGACCUACAAGUCGAGCAGGGACGAAAGUCGGUCUUAGUGAUCUGACGGUACUGAGUGGAAAGGCCGUCACUCAACGGAUAAAAGUUACUCUAGGAUAACAGGCUGAUCUCCCCCAAGAGUUCACAUCGACGGGGAGGUUUGGCACCUCGAUGUCGGCUCAUCGCAUCCUGGGGCGGUAGUACGUCCCAAGGGUUGGGCUGUUCGCCCAUGAAAGCGGUACGCGAGCUGGGUUCAGAACGUCGUGAGACAGUUCGGUCCAUAUCCGGUGUAGGCGCUAGAAUAUUGAGAGGAGCCUUCUUUAGUACGAGAGGACCGAGAAGGACACACCGCUGGUGUACCAGUUAUCGUGCCAACGGUAAACGCUGGGUAGCUAUGUGUGGAGUGGAUAACCGCUGAAAGCAUCUAAGUGGGAAGCCCACCUCGAGAUGAGUAUUC